UGAAUUUAGCCAUCAAGGAUAAUGAUAACAAUGGCUAAAAUUUCCUGAGUGCUUACCAUAUGUCAGGCACUAUUUUAGGAACUUUACAUGUACCAUCUUAGUCCCUAAAUCAGCCCUAGGAAGUAGGUGCUACUAUUAUUGCCACUUAAAGAGGAGGAAAUGUAAGCACAGAAAGGAUAACUAAACUUCUUCGAGUCACACAGCUAGUAAGUGGUGGGCCCAGGAUGCUAACCCAGGAGGUCUGGCUCCAGAGGCAAUGCUCUACCUGCUGUGCCCCACUGCCUUCUUCCUUGGGGUUCUGUGAAUGAGGUGGUCCAGGGGCCUGUUAUGGCUAGGCAGGAUGGGGUCUGGUCCCUCAGAUUGUAAGGGAAGGCUGGCCUCUGUCCUGGGCCUCACUAGAGAUCCUCUCAGUGGAUACCCACGUAGAAGAUCUGGAUUGUGGUUGCAGCCCUGGCACCUGGUUAACAACCCCUGCUCUCUGGGACGGCAGCCGGGUCCCUGGGGCUGUCCUGUCUUUGUGACCCAGUCAAAGUUAGAGUCAACUCUUUGUCCCCAUUUUCUGUUUCACACCUGCCAAGCAAAAACCCCAUCCCCUGGACACUCUGUCAAUGUUCCACCUACAGACCUCUUCUGGUCCCUGGGGUCUGUUCCUUGAUUUCCUUACCGCCUCCUGGCUCCUGGGCAGAAUUACUUUUCUCCUAGGGACUAUUUGCUACUUGUGCGGCUAUGAUGGAGACAGUCCCAAGUGCAACCCUGUUUCAAGAUUUGUGGAAAUUCAAAUACUUUCCACCCCAUCCUGCCCUGAGUCAAAGAGAAACUACCAUCACCACUCACCCCAAAACCGGGGGUCGGGACAGCACGGCCUCUUCAAUAACUGGUGCUGGGCCAGCUGGACAUGCAUCUGGAAAAAACGCCAACUCCAACCUAACACCAUACACAAAGGUAUGAGCUGUAUUUCCAAACCACUCACUUAUGAUCUGCCACAGGAGAUUUAGUGUUCUGGAAAAGACUCCUGAGAUAAACAGCCCUUGAACUUCGAUGAAAAGACCCUUAGAAGGAUCCAGGGCCGGCUCCAUCCACUGGGCUCUGAGGAAUGCCAUUACUUGUCCCCAGGCCUCCGUGGGACCCUCCAGGCAGCUCACUGAGGCGCAGGACCUAUUGUUUCUCUCAGGACUGGCCCUGUGGCUGCAGCCAAUAGCCGGUCACCCGUCCCUCACUUCUUCCCUGGCUCUGAGCCACAGCCUUCUUCCUCUUCUCUGACGGAAACAAAAAAAGCAAGGGGG
RNAcentral lists this long non-coding RNA (1283 nucleotides) under Equus caballus (horse). RNAcentral describes it as "lncRNA (ENSECAG00000044600.1)". The record is from RNAcentral. Lineage: Eukaryota; Metazoa; Chordata; Mammalia; Perissodactyla; Equidae.